GCUGCAGUGACUCAGUCGGUUAGCGCGUAUGGCUGUUAACCAUAAGGUCGAAGGUUCGACCCCUCCCUCUAGCG
Molecule: non-coding RNA, 74 nt
Organism: Theobroma cacao (cacao)
Lineage: Eukaryota; Viridiplantae; Streptophyta; Magnoliopsida; Malvales; Malvaceae
Source: the annotation of a RefSeq genome assembly